GACGAACGCUGGCGGCGUGCUUAACACAUGCAAGUCGAACGGAAAGGCCCUGCUUUUGUGGGGUGCUCGAGUGGCGAACGGGUGAGUAACACGUGAGUAACCUGCCCUUGACUUUGGGAUAACUUCAGGAGACUGGGGCUAAUACCGGAUAGGAGCUCCUGCUGCAUGGUGGGGGUUGGAAAGUUUCGGCGGUUGGGGAUGGACUCGCGGCUUAUCAGCUUGUUGGUGGGGUAGUGGCUUACCAAGGCUUUGACGGGUAGCCGGCCUGAGAGGGUGACCGGCCACAUUGGGACUGAGAUACGGCCCAGACUCCUACGGGAGGCAGCAGUGGGGAAUAUUGCACAAUGGGCGGAAGCCUGAUGCAGCAACGCCGCGUGCGGGAUGACGGCCUUCGGGUUGUAAACCGCUUUCGCCUGUGACGAAGCGUGAGUGACGGUAAUGGGUAAAGAAGCACCGGCUAACUACGUG
This 468-nucleotide ribosomal RNA is filed under the name uncultured bacterium. RNAcentral describes it as "partial 16S ribosomal RNA". It matches the Rfam family "Bacterial small subunit ribosomal RNA", at positions 28 to 507 of the family's 1533-position model. The record is from RNAcentral.